Molecule: long non-coding RNA, 576 nt
Organism: Cebus imitator (Panamanian white-faced capuchin)
Lineage: Eukaryota; Metazoa; Chordata; Mammalia; Primates; Cebidae
Exons: 2
Source: RefSeq, a predicted model, not a curated record
AUAUCCAGCACCCCCACCUUUACUGCUAGGGGAUGACCAGCCGCUGAAGUCAUUUUGUGAAAUGCAAAUCUGAUCAUGGCACCCUGAGAAACCCCUUCCAACCCUGCAGUGGCCUCCACAGCCUGGUGCCCAUCUGCUCCUCAGGCUUGGCUUGCUCCCGCCCCUGGACCUCACACCCGUUGCUCUCUCUGCUUUCAAAGCGCUUUCCCACCCCCAUCCUGCUUGGUUAACCCUGAGCACCCUCUGUGCCCCCUGGCCAGAUCUGUGAGGACAGAAAGCAGCCUGCUUUGGCUGUCAGCUGUGCCAUGGCAGCCGAGAGCACUGCGAGGCUGGCUGAACCUGAGCUGGGGCAUGGCUCCCUCAUGGACGCCUCCCCUGGGCCCCCAUCGGGCCUCCUUUCCCCUGACCCUCUCUCAGUCGUCCGUGGCUGGGGAUGGGGACCGCACUGCUCUUGGUCACUGUGGGUUCAUGGUGUCUCACACAGGUCCUAACAAUAUACUGAGGUAACAAUCUUCAGUCUUUACUCGGUGAACCAAUGAACUGUCACCUCCAGCUGACCCAAAUGCUUGAGGAGCC